Molecule: ribosomal RNA, 253 nt
Filed under: uncultured bacterium
Lineage: Bacteria
Description: partial 16S ribosomal RNA
Rfam family: Bacterial small subunit ribosomal RNA
Source: RNAcentral
UACGGAGGGGGUUAGCGUUGUUCGGAAUUACUGGGCGUAAAGCGCGCGUAGGCGGACCAGAAAGUUGGGGGUGGGAUCCCGGGGCUCAACCCCGGAACGGCCUCCAAAACUCCUGGUCUUGAGUUCGAGAGAGGUGAGUGGAAUUCCGAGUGUAGAGGUGAAAUUCGUAGAUAUUCGGAGGAACACCAGUGGCGAAGGCGGCUCACUGGCUCGAUACUGACGCUGAGGUGCGAAAGUGUGGGGAGCAAACAGG